Molecule: long non-coding RNA, 543 nt
Filed under: Carica papaya (papaya)
Lineage: Eukaryota; Viridiplantae; Streptophyta; Magnoliopsida; Brassicales; Caricaceae
Description: long non-coding RNA (CPAP_LNC007846)
Source: RNAcentral
CUUGCAUCGGUUCCUAUGAGAAAACACCCUUAGGGCCAUCGGUGGGCCGAAAAAAUACAAAAAAUUGAAACUUACCGGCAAUGGGGCUCUCCGGUGCAGCGGCUCCUCCGGUUCACGUCGCGGUUUGGUAUUUUGCUCCAGUCAAACUGUAGAUGAGGAAAUGGUAAUCACAAAGGUGGAAAAAUCACAUCGAACGGGAAUCGGGAAGGGCCUCAUCGGAGAUACGCUGGGCUUCGGUGGCGUUUCUCGGCCAAUUGGCCGGUGCUUUCACUCCGAUUUGGCCAUAGAUGGGUUUAGAAUUGAAUUCUGAGCAAAGAGUAGAAUUUUUACCUAGUUUGGCGGCCGAAAAUUGCUCCGGUACGGCGGCGGGCGGCAGCGGUCGACUCCCCGGCAGCUGGGCUGUCUUCUCCGGCGAAGGGCUCUAGCGGCUAGGGUUAGGGUUGGGGUGCGAAUGAGAUUAUUUAUAACCAUCCGCUUUUGAUAUGAGUCGUGCAUCGCAUUUAAUCUGGACCGUCCGAUCGUGAUUAAAUAAAAAAUGAAUAU